GGGGCGGGGGGGGAGUGCCUGACAAUAGUUUACUCCGGAAACUCCUGUUUGAAUGCUAGGCUACCUAUAUCUGUAGACCCCAGAGGGCAGCCAUUAAAUAAUUAGGCACUUAGGGAUGGAGAAUUGUCUCAAAGACCAAACAACAAGUUACUUAAGACUCUUCUGGCAGACCAGAGGACCUUGAGGAUUGAGGAGACCUCUCGUCCUAUCUUGAAUUGUUCCAAAGGACGGAAGGAGGACUGGAUCCGGGCUCUGGCUUGCCUCAUUGCCCCCAAACACAUUCCCAGAAACGCUCCCCAGGGCCGAACCAAGAACUCAAGUGUCUAACCCACAGCGUCAGCUCUCAGGUUCAAGUUCAAGUCCUCCGGCGUACAUCGGGGCUUCCUUGUCUGCUGUUAAAUUUUAUGUGGAAAUGAAGCCGAAAAUAAUGUCCUGAGAUGUGGAUGAAGAGUGCUGUAACGAAACAUUGUACCAAAACGAAGACUGUGCUGUACGCGCCCCUCAGACAACUACUCUCCUGCAGGCGAGGAUUGUCACCCGGGGGGAGUGUGGCAGGAGUGCCGUCACAGUGGCAGAAGGAGAAGGAGAGAGAAAACGAAACCUGGGAAAUUGCCCGCGCUCACUUUUUCUCCUCCCCGGACCUGAGUUCAAGAGCCUGUCUCGGAGUCGGGCAGUCUCCGGUUGGGAAGGCCCUCGAUCAUGACUUUUUCGUCCCGACCUGUGCAGAUCCCCCACCUCUACCCAUCUCCAGCUGACACGUUUGCUCUGAGAAGGGAUUGGUGAAUAUCGCCCUCUCCCGGAUCUCCGGAAAUUCUCCCCAGCGCGCUGCAUCCGCUUCUUCCCAAGCUCGGAGCGCCGCACACGCAGCGGGGCGGGACCUUCAGCUCAGGGCGACGGUGUCCUCGGUCCCCUCCCCGAGGGCCGAGGCCUCCAGAGCCCCAGAUCCGGGACCCAGGCCCUGAGCCGGAUCUGAGGAGCGCACUGGGCCCGAGCCCCUGCUGGAGCCCGGAGCUCGGCCGGGGAGAGAGCUCAGCCACACGCGCCCCCGGCUAUGGCCCGGACCCCGCUCGGCUCUGCCGCUGAGUCCGCGCGCGGGGGAAAGCCCGCAGACCUUCCAGGACUUGCGGAUUGCCAGCCCCGAAUCCCUAAAGAGCUCGGCCCCGAGAGUCUCCUUGUGGUGUUUGGUGGCCGCCGCGAGCGGGCUUGGCGUCCCCCACGGCAGAGGGGAGGUCGAGGGGGAACUGGUUCCCGGUUCACCCUUCAUCUCCUACCAGUCACCAGCCGAGGCCCUGCCCCGUGCUCGCAUGGAGGCACCGAGAUAGCCCUGGCCCAGCAAAUGGCUCCUGGGUCGUCCUGGCGGGAGCGGGCCCAGGGCGAGGCGCGCAGGUGAGGUGCCAGGCUCGGGGCGCCCAGCCAGCGGCGCUUGGGGGCACCGGCUCGCUCCACCUGGCGUCCGCGCGGCCGGAGUGCCGCUGCGGCAGGCGGGCAGCGGCGGCGCAGCGACGGGCUGUGGCGCCACCUCCCGAGAAGACCUAGCAGGAAGCGCGGCUCCGCAGGUGGCCCGCGGCGCGCGCCUUCCGGGUGGCCGGAGUGCCCCUCGGCCAGCGAUUUGCCCUCUCAACGCCCCGAAACACCUCCAGAAAUGCCUGUGGCAGCAAUUACUACGCCGAUGGUCGCUGUCCUCCCCAAGUGAUGAAAGGGAGGUCCUAGCACCCCAGGAAGAUCUUGUGCCCCUGCCUGGGGAAGGCGAAAAGGCUGCAGCGGCCCUGGGACGCGAUGGCCUUGUGUCGGCUAUCAAGGGAUCUCGGACCCCCCUCACGUACGUGAAAACCGGUCCCCAAGAGUCCAGCAAGGAGAAGUAGGAGGAGGUGACUGGAGGGGAGAGGUGUUUGUGGCCCCCAAGGUAGGCUCCAGGUUGCAGUGGAGUCAAGCCGUCGGCAAGGGAUCCAGCUCUGCUCCUCAGACUCGAGCAGAGCAGCCUGUCUGCGGCCACCUCCACUCCCUCUCCGAGGACGCACCCGGCCACUCUCUGCACCACCGCGGGCGAUAGACAGAUUGUCCCCUCCGUUCCUGCCAACCAGCCCAAUAACGGAAGCAAAAUGAAGGUGUCUUUCCAGAAAUGUUUCCUCUGAGCAGGGUGUGGACGUGGACCAGGCACAUGGAACUCAGCCCUCUGGACACACGGGAAGCUUUUAAGAAGACACAGCACCCAAGCUCUAUCUUCAAGGGUGAGGAGUAUGCCAGACAUAAGACCUGAGAGGACAGCGGUCUACACAGAGGGAACAUCCUGGAGGGAAUGGCACACAGCAGAGCUUAAAAUAAAGCAGCACAGAGACAGCUGUGGUCCAGCUGCCCGCCCUGUCGGUGGCAAUCGCCUCCCUGGUCAGGUUCAUCUCUGAACACCUGGUUGGGACAUGAGUGCAUCCUCCUAGGACCCAGAAGUCACUGAGCAGAAGUGCAGCAACGUGGCAAAACCAACAGAGCUGAAGCGGCACAGAACAUUCCUGGACAGGUCUGCGAGGGUGGGGCAGCCAGGAAGUGACAGCAUGAAGCCAAGCACACUGGGCUCCUCUCCAGAGAUAUAUGGCAAAGGUGCGAGCUUUAGAGACAGGAAUGUUGGGAUUCCUCUCCUGGUUCUUCCACUUAAUGGCUGCUUGAUUCUGAACCUUAUCAGAGUAUCAACCUUAUCAGAGUAUUAUCAAUUUACAUCUAUAAAAUGGGAAGAUCACAAAAUAUAACUCCCAGGGUUAUGAGUCUGCAUGAGCUAGCUUGGAUAAAUGUUUAGCGCUGUGCGUGGCAUACUGUAGCUUCUUUUCUAGACCUGUGGAAAGAAUUGCAUAAAGGAGGCAGUGAUUGACCCCUCAACUCAAUGGCGACCUUGCAGAGAGAGAGAGGUUUAAUCCACCUAGGGAGACUCCUCUGCAAUUAGUGGCACAACAGUAAGGUCCUUAAAGAGAAUCACUAACAUCAAGGAAAGAUCAUGAACUUUUGCUUGUCAAAAAUAGUGGAAGAAUGGGGCUGGCCCUGUGGCCGAGUGGUUAAGUUCGCACGCUCCGCUGCAGGCGGCCCAGUGUUUCG
This is a long non-coding RNA of Equus caballus (horse), 3078 nucleotides long. The record is from Ensembl. NCBI's taxonomy places the organism in Eukaryota, Metazoa, Chordata, Mammalia, Perissodactyla, Equidae.